GCAACCCGCCUGUAUGAAGUUGGAAUCGCUAGUAAUCGCGGAUCAGCAUGCCGCGGUGAAUACGUUCCCGGGCCUUGUACACACCGCCCGUCACACCAUGAGAGUCGGGAACACCCGAAGUCCGUAGUCUAACUUUCACGAGAGGACGCGGCCGAAGGUGGGUUCGAUAAUUGGGGUGAAGUCGUAACAAGGUACC
Molecule: ribosomal RNA, 196 nt
Filed under: uncultured bacterium
Lineage: Bacteria
Description: partial 16S ribosomal RNA
Rfam family: Bacterial small subunit ribosomal RNA
Source: RNAcentral